This is a long non-coding RNA of Lynx canadensis (Canada lynx), 385 nucleotides long. RefSeq lists it as uncharacterized. Lineage: Eukaryota; Metazoa; Chordata; Mammalia; Carnivora; Felidae. The record is from RefSeq and is a predicted model, not a curated record. The transcript is spliced from 2 exons.
AUGACCUCGGUGGGGCAGCUAUUCUCAUUCCCACUUCGCAGACGUGGAAACUGAGGAUCACAAAGUGUACCCCGUCUACAACAUGGCCCCAGCCCACACUAGGCGCUCAAGGAACCUGUGGUGAAUGAACGGAUUCAUCUGUACCCACUACGCUACAGCCCUGCUUGGACACCUCUGACUCUGCCCGGGCGGUCCCUGGGGCACUCUGGCAGAGAUGUGCCUGGGACCCAGGGGCGGUGGGUGAAGCAGCAACGUCAGACAGAGGGAAUAGAGGAGGACAGCGUGCAGAUGCCUCUGAAGUCUAGGGUCUGAUCCCAAGAACGCAGGCCCAUUUUGCAUUCUACUCUCGUACGGUCAUUGCAAUUAAAGAAAGUCUUUUGAAUUA